This is a non-coding RNA of Podarcis lilfordi (Lilford's wall lizard), 77 nucleotides long. Lineage: Eukaryota; Metazoa; Chordata; Lepidosauria; Squamata; Lacertidae. The record is from the annotation of a GenBank genome assembly.
ACUAGGAUAGCUCGGUCAGUAGAGUGUGAAUCUCUUAACCUCAUGAUUGUGGGUUCGAGUCCCACGCUGCGCAAAUA